This is a long non-coding RNA of Megalobrama amblycephala (Wuchang bream), 519 nucleotides long. RefSeq lists it as uncharacterized. Lineage: Eukaryota; Metazoa; Chordata; Actinopteri; Cypriniformes; Xenocyprididae. The transcript has 5 exons. The record is from RefSeq and is a predicted model, not a curated record.
CAUUUUUUUGCGGUCUGAAGAGAUAUCGCGAGAUUACACGAGACUAUAAAAUAGCAAACACUGGAGCGGAUCUUAGUUACCAUGGAAACGGGGAAACGUCAAGCAUCAAGACUCCGUCUCGCUGUUGUUUUCACUGAUUUUAGGGGUGACAGAAAACCCCCUCUACAACAAAGAGGAAGCUGACAGAGGAGGAGGAAACACAGAUCCUUCCAUGCUGAUGGCCUCCUGCACCCCAGAGCUGAGCGACCUCCUGUCAAAGGCCACGAACCAGAUGACUAUAUUAUGUUUGCUAGUGAGACAGACGCCAUACUGUUCCACUCAAAGAUCCGCCAUUAGUUGUUUACCAGUAUGGAGACCAGCUAAGACCAACUGGGAGGUUUUGUUCAUGCUUUUUAUUGUGCAUUGUCAUGAUUUCUGCUUUGAUUUGUUAUGAAUCUAGGUCUCUUUUUUUAUGUUGCAUCAUGAUAAAUAAAAUGGAUGUAAUUUAUUGUGACAGUGAAUAAAAAAUAUAUUGAUAUA